GGCUGGUCCAGAGGUAAUGAGUUAUGUCUCGAUUGAUGGUUCACAGUUACAGAUUGAACUCCUUGUUCUAUUCUUUCCCCCCUUCUCAUUACUGCACUUGACUAGUCUAAA
Unclassified non-coding RNA from Otolemur garnettii (small-eared galago), 111 nucleotides. It matches the Rfam family "Y RNA". Rfam says of the family: Y RNAs are components of the Ro ribonucleoprotein particle (Ro RNP), in association with Ro60 and La proteins. The Y RNAs and Ro60 and La proteins are well conserved, but the function of the Ro RNP is not known. In humans the RNA component can be one of four small RNAs -- hY1, hY3, hY4 and hY5. Lineage: Eukaryota; Metazoa; Chordata; Mammalia; Primates; Galagidae. The record is from Ensembl.